This 253-nucleotide ribosomal RNA is filed under the name uncultured bacterium. RNAcentral describes it as "partial 16S ribosomal RNA". It matches the Rfam family "Bacterial small subunit ribosomal RNA", at positions 524 to 776 of the family's 1533-position model. The record is from RNAcentral.
UACGUAGGGGGCAAGCGUUGUCCGGAUUUAUUGGGCGUAAAGAGCGUGUAGGCGGCCAGGUAGGUCAGCUGUGAAAACUCGAGGCUCAACCUCGAGACGUCGAUGGAAACCAUCUGGCUAGAGUCCGGAAGAGGAGAGUGGAAUUCCUGGUGUAGCGGUGAAAUGCGCAGAUAUCAGGAAGAACACCUAUGGCGAAGGCAGCUCUCUGGGACGGUACUGACGCUGAGACGCGAAAGCGUGGGGAGCGAACAGG